GAUGAACGCUGGCGGCGUGCCUAAUACAUGCAAGUCGAGCGAACGGACGAGAAGCUUGCUUUUCUGAUGUUAGCGGCGGACGGGUGAGUAACACGUGGAUAACCUACCUAUAAGACUGGGAUAACUUCGGGAAACCGGAGCUAAUACCGGAUAAUAUUUUGAACCGCAUGGUUCAAAAGUGAAAGACGGUCUUGCUGUCACUUAUAGAUGGAUCCGCGCCGCAUUAGCUAGUUGGUAAGGUAACGGCUUACCAAGGCAACGAUGCAUAGCCGACCUGAGAGGGUGAUCGGCCACACUGGAACUGGGACACGGUCCAGACUCCUACGGGAGGCAGCAGUAGGGAAUCUUCCGCAAUGGGCGAAAGCCUGGCGGAGCAACGCCGCGUGAGUGAUGAAGGUCUUCGGAUCGUAAAACUCUGUUAUUAGGGAAGAACAUAUGUGUAAGUAACUGUGCACAUCUUGACGGUACCUAAUCAGAAAGCCACGGCUAACUACGUG
RNAcentral lists this ribosomal RNA (497 nucleotides) under uncultured bacterium. RNAcentral's name for it is "partial 16S ribosomal RNA". It matches the Rfam family "Bacterial small subunit ribosomal RNA", at positions 28 to 507 of the family's 1533-position model. The record is from RNAcentral.